AUUGAACGCUGGCGGCAGGCCUAACACAUGCAAGUCGAACGGUAACAGAAAGCAGCUUGCUGCUUUGCUGACGAGUGGCGGACGGGUGAGUAAUGUCUGGGAAACUGCCUGAUGGAGGGGGAUAACUACUGGAAACGGUAGCUAAUACCGCAUAACGUCGCAAGUCCAAAGAGGGGGACCUUCGGGCCUCUUGCCAUCGGAUGUGCCCAGAUGGGAUUAGCUAGUAGGUGGGGUAAAGGCUCACCUAGGCGACGAUCCCUAGCUGGUCUGAGAGGAUGACCAGCCACACUGGAACUGAGACACGGUCCAGACUCCUACGGGAGGCAGCAGUGGGGAAUAUUGCACAAUGGGCGCAAGCCUGAUGCAGCCAUGCCGCGUGUAUGAAGAAGGCCUUCGGGUUGUAAAGUACUUUCAGCGGGGAGGAAGGGAGUAAAGUUAAUACCUUUGCUCAUUGACGUUACCCGCAGAAGAAGCACCGGCUAACUCCGUG
RNAcentral lists this ribosomal RNA (490 nucleotides) under uncultured bacterium. RNAcentral describes it as "partial 16S ribosomal RNA". It matches the Rfam family "Bacterial small subunit ribosomal RNA", at positions 30 to 507 of the family's 1533-position model. The record is from RNAcentral.